CCGAGUGUUUAAGACGGACAUAGAGCUGGAGGUUCUGCACUACACCAAUAAAAUCUCCAGUGAGACCCACUGUGAGAUUGAUUUCUAUAAUUAUAUGGAAGCAUGUGAAAACCCUACCAUUUCCAAGGAUCUGACCAACAAUUACAGCAGGAAAUGUGGUCAUCUAAUUUAACUCUUAAACAUCAUCAGCAAGACUAAAAGCUUGGAUGCAUCCCAAUUAUCCCCACAAAUUAAUGGUCAGACAUUCUGGAUUUUCAUGGUUUUGGCUUCAGAAAAUUCUAAGUCUAGAAAGCAGCUGUUUCUAUGGGUAUCCCAAAGAAGAAAACUGCUACAUGAAACAAGAGCAAACUGUGGUCUCAUCUGCACAUUUGCAGAGUAGCAUCAGAUCCAUGGAGAUGCUGCUCACUGAAAAAGUAACACCCAUUGUGUUGGACCUCACCUACGUGACCUUUCCGGGGCAUAGUCUGGAAGGACAUGGAAAAUUAAAAGAGAAGUUAAACACUGCACAAUUAAGUGAGAAGAACUUUGAAUCUCAAUGAAUAACUCAGGCAAGACAAUAGGAAGAGAAUGGAGAUAAGGAGAAGGUAUGAGCUACAAGAAGGAAGGUCAGCCCUCCGCCAAACCAGCAAGAUAUUCCCUGUGGUGAAGAAUGGCUGAUGAAUUUCAGCACAAAGCUAUCUAAUGUUCAGUUUCAAGUUGCUAUCUACAUGAUGCUAUGCCAUCAUCCCUCCAUUACUGCAAAGCUUCAGUAAAAGAGAGAAAGAAAGUUAACAGCAGAAAUGAGGAGCAAUAUUUAGGAAGCAUAACGGGGCAUAAAGACAUGUAAACUCUACAAAAUUACACAGGGCUUAGGAGGAGAACUCAGCUUUCAGUUUGAUGGUGAAAUAUUAGUUAAACACAUCAUCCCCAAAGGGAUGUAUUUGCAUCUUCUAUGAACGAUGAUGGAAACAGUCUCAGUUUAUCAGCAAGAUGGCUGAGGAUGCACUUACCUAAAUGAGCAAUGAAGAUUCAUCUGCUACAGCUGAACUGUAUUUGCAUAGGCUAACUUAUUGAGAAGGAAAAUUCUGGAAUAUAAAGGAGAGAAGGCUGAAAAGUGAAGGGUGCAACCUAAGACUCUGACCAGUGACUAGGAGUUUUCCAGAGGAGGAAGAACGGGAAAGGCAUUUCAGGAAAAGGCCAGCAUGAACACGCAUAUGAAGCUGCACGCAGGUGCAGAAAAAGGGAGUGGCAGCCUAUUUUUUCUGACUGUAAAAUGGACUACAAGAGAAAAUUCCUGCUCAGAGGGUGCCCUCUCUUGACCCACUUCUCCACCGUGGGAGAAGUGAUGGAAUUCUACUUGGAGAUCGACCCUGUUACCUUGAACCUGAUCAUCCUAGUUGCGAGCUACGUCAUCUUGCUCCUGGUCUUCCUCAUCUCCUGCGUGCUAUACGACUGCCGAGGCAAGGAUCCCAGUAAGGAGUACGCGCCCGAGGCCACUCUCGAGGCCCAGCCCUCCAUCCGGUUGGUGGUGAUGCACCCAAGUGUCGCUGGGCCCCACUGGCCAAAGGGGCCUGGCCUUUCUUUGGGGGAUCCUGCUCCACUAGGAAAGAAAAGCACCAUGGUAUGAGGCUGGCUAAGGGACACUGGGGAGAGACCACUAGACUUUCCAUAGAGACAAACUGCUCCCUAUCGUGGCUCCAAUUCUCUCAGCACAUGUAUCCCGCUUGAUGAAGGAAGUGAGAGCUCUGUCUUACUUGCUGUUUUCUCGUCACCUUCUUUGUGACAAAAGUAACUG
This 1774-nucleotide long non-coding RNA is filed under the name Homo sapiens (human). RNAcentral's name for it is "HSALNT0390702". Lineage: Eukaryota; Metazoa; Chordata; Mammalia; Primates; Hominidae. The record is from RNAcentral.